Molecule: ribosomal RNA, 841 nt
Filed under: Staphylococcus epidermidis
Lineage: Bacteria; Bacillati; Bacillota; Bacilli; Caryophanales; Staphylococcaceae
Description: bacterial SSU rRNA
Rfam family: Bacterial small subunit ribosomal RNA
Source: RNAcentral
GCAGCUAUAAUGCAGUCGAGCGACAGACGAGGAGCUUGCUCCUCUGACGUUAGCGGCGGACGGGUGAGUAACACGUGGAUAACCUACCUAUAAGACUGGGAUAACUUCGGGAAACCGGAGCUAAUACCGGAUAAUAUAUUGAACCGCAUGGUUCAAUAGUGAAAGACGGUUUUGCUGUCACUUAUAGAUGGAUCCGCGCCGCAUUAGCUAGUUGGUAAGGUAACGGCUUACCAAGGCAACGAUGCGUAGCCGACCUGAGAGGGUGAUCGGCCACACUGGAACUGAGACACGGUCCAGACUCCUACGGGAGGCAGCAGUAGGGAAUCUUCCGCAAUGGGCGAAAGCCUGACGGAGCAACGCCGCGUGAGUGAUGAAGGUCUUCGGAUCGUAAAACUCUGUUAUUAGGGAAGAACAAAUGUGUAAGUAACUAUGCACGUCUUGACGGUACCUAAUCAGAAAGCCACGGCUAACUACGUGCCAGCAGCCGCGGUAAUACGUAGGUGGCAAGCGUUAUCCGGAAUUAUUGGGCGUAAAGCGCGCGUAGGCGGUUUUUUAAGUCUGAUGUGAAAGCCCACGGCUCAACCGUGGAGGGUCAUUGGAAACUGGAAAACUUGAGUGCAGAAGAGGAAAGUGGAAUUCCAUGUGUAGCGGUGAAAUGCGCAGAGAUAUGGAGGAACACCAGUGGCGAAGGCGACUUUCUGGUCUGUAACUGACGCUGAUGUGCGAAAGCGUGGGGAUCAAACAGGAUUAGAUACCCUGGUAGUCCACGCCGUAAACGAUGAGUGCUAAGUGUUAGGGGGUUUCCGCCCCUUAGUGCUGCAGCUAACGCAUUAAGCACUCC